UACAGAGAGUGCAAGCGUUAAUCGGAAUUACUGGGCGUAAAGCGCACGUAGGUGGGUUAUUAAGUCAAGUGUGAAAGCCCCGGGCUCAACCUGGGAACUGCACUUGAUACUGGUAGCCUAGAGUAUAGUAGAGGGAAGUGGAAUUUCCGGUGUAGCGGUGAAAUGCGUAGAUAUCGGAAGGAACACCAGUGGCGAAGGCGGCUUCCUGGACUAAUACUGACACUGAGGUGCGAAAGCGUGGGGAGCAAAC
This 250-nucleotide ribosomal RNA is filed under the name uncultured bacterium. RNAcentral's name for it is "partial 16S ribosomal RNA". It matches the Rfam family "Bacterial small subunit ribosomal RNA", at positions 524 to 773 of the family's 1533-position model. The record is from RNAcentral.